CACUCUUGACUCUUGUUUGGCAGAUACAAGUGGUACAGAGGCAGGUGCACGCCUGCGAUUACCCACUCGGAAUACGCUAUCUGUCUGGCGCUCUGUGGUUCUGUUCCUUCGCGAAUCAGUGAGCAGAGAUCACGAGGUAGAUAGGUGGGUUUUAUGAGGUUAUCACGAAAGCUCCCGAGAUCAGAGGAACGCCCGCAAGGUGAAAUGACACAAUAUAUCAUCUGCAUCCUGAGAGGAGGUCUGCGUUGCGUAAAAGAAGCGGAUGAUUGAGGAUAAACUGGGAGGUUUCCCGUGUCUCGGGGUGAUUCCAGUGUCUCAGGAGUCGCGUCUGAGCGGUAAUAGACGAGAGAGACCUAGAGAGAAUAGGUUGUUUGCGCUCCCGGGAGGUCCCGCUCUGCAUGAAAAGGAGCGAUGCAAAAGAGAUUCCCAAGAAGGAUUCCCGAUCUGCGGUCCCUUUUCCGGUGUCUUUUCUUCACGCAAAAGGUGUGGAUCUGGGCCUGUUCCAGUGAAAGCAGGAUAUCCUCCUCGUCCGACUCGUGAAAGGAAAACGUUUCUUCUUGUCCGCGAUAAGAAGCGGCUCCACGGCACCACAGAUUCACUCCAGUGAUCAGAGAGAGAGAGAGAGCACUGACUGACCACAGUGACAACAAUGAUUGACAACACCCCAACCUGAGACCAUACAAACUGAUUGGUUGAUGAAGAUACAGCCAACAGGUUGGCUCCACCCCUCCACACCGUCCCCGACCCAUCGUUGAACUCUUCAAAAACAUUUAACAACAAUCAACACUUCUGAACAACGUUACCUUCUGACACACUCUCAACCUUUAACCAGAAAAACAACAGCCUGGUCACACAGCAGUGACUGUAGCUUCUCCCUGGUCACACAGCAGUGACUGUAGCUUCUCCCUGGUCACACAGCAGUGACUGUAGCUUCUCCCUGGUCACACAGCAGUGACUGUUGCUUCUCUCUGGUCACACAGCAGUGACUGUAGCUUCUCCCUGGUCACACAGCAGUGACUGUAGCUUCUCCCUGGUCACACAGCAGUGACUGUAGCUUCUCCCUGGUCCCACAGCAGUGACUGUAGCUUCUCCCUGGUCCCACAGCAGUGACUGUAGCUUCUCCCUGGUCCCACAGCAGUGACUGUAGCUUCUCCCUGGUCCCACAAAGACCAGUAAACGAAGAGGAAUAACUGUAGUCUGAAGCUGCUCACACACAGUAACAUGGAGCCCCCGCUUCCCACCUUUUGAAGUUGGGAACCGUCUUUCCAAAGUACUUUCUGUCCAUCUUCUCUCUGUCCAUC
Long non-coding RNA from Oncorhynchus gorbuscha (pink salmon), 1301 nucleotides. RefSeq lists it as uncharacterized. The record is from RefSeq and is a predicted model, not a curated record. Lineage: Eukaryota; Metazoa; Chordata; Actinopteri; Salmoniformes; Salmonidae. The transcript is spliced from 4 exons.